Molecule: long non-coding RNA, 863 nt
Organism: Carassius auratus (goldfish)
Lineage: Eukaryota; Metazoa; Chordata; Actinopteri; Cypriniformes; Cyprinidae
Exons: 3
Source: RefSeq, a predicted model, not a curated record
UGAUUGCAGUUAUGAGAGAUUAUAAUUUCACAAAGUCAUCUGAAGUCAUUCCAUAGGCCAUAGCUUAAUCUGAGGGACAGAAUUAUAUUUAGAUAAUUAAAUUACAGUUUACGGAAACUCCUCUUCCCUCUCCCUGCGGCUGUCAAUCAUUCUCCAUUUUAUUUUCAAACCGCGCGCCUCGUCCGUUACAGCAGGAUCGAGCAGGAUACACGCUUCAGGGAAGCAGCCACCAAUCAGCUGUUCCUGCUGUGCAAAUUAUUUGGAAUCUCCUGCCAGUGAUCAUUGCUUGUGGAUAAUGAGGUUGAAGAACUGGAGCGGACAACCAUGGCGAUCUUUAUCACUGGGAAAGAGGAUCCUCUCCAUCCACCUAAAGACAUUAAAAUUGUUGUCGAAGGAAAAGAGGUCCUGAACGAGUUGCCAUCGGUUGCUGGGCUCAUAUAUACACUAAACCUAAAAUAUCCAAAAAGGCUACAGUUCACCUUUGAAUUUGUGCAAAAGGUCCUGAUGGAGCUUGAUGGAAUAAAGAUGACCCCAAAAGCUAUACAGCUAUACUCAGCUAUACAGGGAUUAAUUGUAUAAUUGCAUAAUUGUUACAUUUUAUUGUGUUUUUACAGCCAAGACUUUAGAUCCUUUUAAUAAAAAGGUUGUACUAACAAGGCUGCAUUUUCACUGCAGCAUUUACAAAUGUGGCUGCCCAAGUUCGAUGGCUACCAGGUACAAAGGUUGAAUAAGGCCAAGUCUUAUGAACAACUGAAGAGACUGAUUGCAGUGUUUCAAGUAUUUCUGCUGUCAAUCUUCAUACAUUUGAAGCAAAUGUUCAAUGUUGUGAGUUUAUUGAACAAUAAAUGUGUUCUAAAGGAAAA